GUGAAUCAUCGAAUCUUUGAACGCACAUUGCGCCCUUUGGUAUUCCGAAGGGCAUGCCUGUUCGAGCGUCAUUUAAACUCUCAAGCCCGGCUUGGUGUUGGGAAUGGCCGUCGGCCGUCCUGCAACGCGUUGAGCGUGACCGUCUGGCAUCAAGCGUAGCAAGUUCCUCGCUUAGCUGUCCGGGCGUUCGUCGCCAGCAAAACAACCCUCUCUAAGUUUGACCUCGGAUCAGGUAGGGAUACCCGCUGAACUUAAGCAUAUCAAUAAGCGGAGGA
This 275-nucleotide unclassified non-coding RNA is filed under the name Ascomycota sp. Its description in RNAcentral is "partial contains 5.8S ribosomal RNA, internal transcribed spacer 2, and large subunit ribosomal RNA". The stretch from base 1 to 71 matches the Rfam family "5.8S ribosomal RNA", at positions 84 to 154 of the family's 154-position model. Lineage: Eukaryota; Fungi; Ascomycota. The record is from RNAcentral.